This 141-nucleotide ribosomal RNA is filed under the name uncultured eukaryote. Its description in RNAcentral is "partial 18S ribosomal RNA". It matches the Rfam family "Eukaryotic small subunit ribosomal RNA", at positions 1299 to 1458 of the family's 1831-position model. The record is from RNAcentral.
UGGUGGAGUGAUUUGUCUGGUUAAUUCCGAUAACGAACGAGACCCCGUCCUACUUACUAGACCGAGGAUCCUCUCGUUCUCGCUGUCUUCUUAGAGGGACAACUGCUUACACCUUGAACUACAUGAAAUGGGGCAAUAACA